Molecule: ribosomal RNA, 301 nt
Filed under: uncultured bacterium
Lineage: Bacteria
Description: partial 16S ribosomal RNA
Rfam family: Bacterial small subunit ribosomal RNA
Source: RNAcentral
CAGUAGCCGCGGUAAUACGAAGGGGGCUAGCGUUGCUCGGAAUCACUGGGCGUAAAGGGUGCGUAGGCGGGUCUUUAAGUCAGGGGUGAAAUCCUGGAGCUCAACUCCAGAACUGCCUUUGGUACUGAAGAUCUUGAGUUCGGGAGAGGUGAGUGGAACUGCGAGUGUAGAGGUGAAAUUCGUAGAUAUUCGCAAGAACACCAGUGGCGAAGGCGGCUCACUGGCCCGAUACUGACGCUGAGGCACGAAAGCGUGGGGAGCAAACAGGAUUAGAUACCCCCGUAGUCCCUGUCUCUUAUAA